UGCCUGCAUUGGCCACAGGGAUUGAGAGUACGUGGUUAUUUUAACAUUGAUGUUCAGCUGAGAAUUCCUGGCAUCAGGAACAUCCAACCUGCAGAAACUUCCAGAGAGCAAAGCAGAGGAGUGCUGUGCCUGUGGCAAGGAAGGAAUGAAGUAGCGAAGCACCUGUAUCACUUGUAUGCAUGCAGCUGCAUCUUGCCAGGAAAGAUAUUACACAGCUAAAGACACACAUCAUGAUGUCCCAGGGAAGGCACAAGAAAAAGAAGAAAGAGCUUUCCCAGCAGCUGAAAUUACAGGACCAGGUACUGCAACUGCAACAGCAGCUGGAAGUUCAAAGAUGAAAUUGCU
Cygnus olor (mute swan) is the source of this 345-nucleotide long non-coding RNA. RefSeq lists it as uncharacterized. The record is from RefSeq and is a predicted model, not a curated record. NCBI's taxonomy places the organism in Eukaryota, Metazoa, Chordata, Aves, Anseriformes, Anatidae. The transcript has 3 exons.